UUGAUCAUCUAAGGCUUAAGGUGCAGCUCCAUCCCAUGAAGUUAUCUAGGGACCAAGAGUUCGCCAUCUUAUUCCUCUGCUAUCAGUAGAGUGACCUCCUUUUUGGCUUGGAUGAUGCUGUGUCAGUGCCAUGUCUAUACUGCAGUCUACAGGAAAAGUGGAAAAAGAGAUGAUGUCAUGGUGUGGAGAUUGAUUGUUAGGACAGCAGCAAAGAGCAGUGUUCUGGUAUGUUGUUUCUGAAGUGGAUUCCCACCAGAAUGGAAUUUCCUUCAUGAAGGUGGCAGUGAAAUUGAAGAGUUCUUCACGCAGAGAUGGCUGUGUGAUUCUGAACGUGCCUCCUAUUCAUCUCCUGGAAGAGAACGAAUUUCCGUGACUUUGCACUAAGCCUCAUGGCUGGGGUUACCACACGAGGCAAGGUCUAUUUCAGGAAAAACAACAACAAAGGGAAAAUGAGUUAUUUUCUCUUUGAAGCCCCCAAAAAGGGAAUUUUCUUGUUCUUAGUGUCCCUUGCCACUCACAACUGGUGAUUCCCAGAGGCUCUGCUGAAGGGUCUGCUGAGGACAGGGCUGUGCUGAGCACUUUCUAAUGGAGCUGAGGAAAGUUAGACCUGAAGCGCCUGUGCUGCCUGAUUCAGGGGCCAGGUGUUUGAGCCUGAGCACAGCAGCUUCACUUCACAGGUGCACGUGCCUGGAGGAGGGGGAAGAGACACCCUGCGCUGCUAACCUGGUGUCUUUCUCUAAUCAGCAGGGGGCAUUUUCAGGAUAUCUUGAACCAUCUUUUCCCAUUCCCUCCAGUGAGCUGGUUCUGCUGCCCUGGCCCUUGUCUGAGAAGGGCAGACAGCUUUCCAAAUGCCCUUCCCCAUCUCCCUGACAGCCCACUGCAGGCCUCACCUCUGGGCUGGGAUAUGCCUCCUCUCUGGUCUCCCUGGCUGUGCUCAAAUCCAUGCUCCACACUGGAGCCCAAGUGUCCUACAGACAAAGCUCAAAAUCGUUUCUCCAUCUCAUGGCAAUGCCUGAUAAAAUACAGGACACCCAGCUAGGUUUAAAUCUCAGGUAAAGAACGAAUAACUUUUAUUUUAACUUGGGACAUAUUUAUACUAAAAAUCAAUUGCUGUUUAUGUGAAAUUAAACAAUAAGUACUGUGUGUCCUAUAUUUUUUAAUGCUAAAUCUGGCAAACCAGGACACUUAAUACCCUGACCCAACCUUGCUUUUACCUCUUUGUGUGUUACACAUUCUCUCCGUUGUUCAGCUCCUUGCAGUUCUGCUGCAGGGACUGCUCUGUCCGGAUUCCCCAGAGCAGGCUCUAUGACAAGGGCCUGAGUGCAAGCACUUCAUUUGGGUGGCAUAGAAAACACCAGUAGGGAGAGGGAAAUGGCACAGGAAAAGGAACCCAGUGUUCACAGGGUGCCUGGAGCUGGAUUCCUGGGGAAACGCCACCAUAAAACAUACCAGAAUCAUCCCACCUGAGGAGAGAAGAAACCCGGCACUUACAUAUCAACUGCUUCACUCUAUCUUUGGCUGAGGGAUGCUCUUAGGGGUGGCAUUUCUCUCUAGCUUUUUAGCAGCAUUUCUUAAAAGACAGAAGAAUGGUGUCUCUGGGGAGGGUGGGGGCAGCGUGUCUGUCUCUCAGGUGGAGGUGCAGGGGAGUGCCCAGAAGAACAAGAAAAUGGGCAGGCUCCCAGGACGCUCACUGGCCAGGCAGCCACAGCAUUGCUGCACACCAUACUCCUCCCACCUCUCCACUGCACCUUGGUCUAAUUACUCUGUGGUAUUUAGAUGUCACUUAGGGAGGAAUCCUGUACCACCCCCACCCACCCUCUCAUACACUUGAAAUUCAAGUGCUGUCCACAUCCUUGUGCUAAUGCCUUUUACAACUCUUAGAAAUUUUCUACUGCAAUGUUAAAGAAAGCUUUUCAGACAAUUUAGUUGUGAGUAUGUGUCAAAGUUUUAUUUUAACUUUGCUGUAUAAAAAGGCCUAUGAGAGUUACUGGCCAAUUUAAGGAUUUUUUUUUUUGUAAGAAAUUUUACAGUUAAAAGAAAAGAAAAAAAAAAGAAUGUUUGGUUAAAGGUUACUAGACUUUUGUCUAAUAGUUAUCAGGAUGGCAGGUCAUUUGAAUCCCCAGAACCAAUUAUUAUCCACUAUAACUUAUAGGAAAUUUAUUUAAAAUUUAAUCAAGACUAAUACAUCCUUCCAACAGGACAUGAAUUACAUCAUUCAAAAUAUGUUCUUUCUCAGAUUAGGUUUGGAACUCUUUUUCUUUUUUAAAACAGUGGUUACAUAUUUCCUUCUGUCCUGCUUCCAUCUAAAUCCUUGAAGUUGGUCAUUAUAUUUGCUUUUUGUUGCAACUGGUGCAUUUGCAGAGCCCUCAAUACAAAACUUAGUGGGUACCAUAUGAAUGUAUUUGAAUAAAUUUUAGUAUUCUGGAUACUAAUAAU
Phyllostomus discolor (pale spear-nosed bat) is the source of this 2436-nucleotide long non-coding RNA. RefSeq lists it as uncharacterized. The record is from RefSeq and is a predicted model, not a curated record. NCBI's taxonomy places the organism in Eukaryota, Metazoa, Chordata, Mammalia, Chiroptera, Phyllostomidae. The transcript is spliced from 3 exons.